Long non-coding RNA from Carassius carassius (crucian carp), 1893 nucleotides. RefSeq lists it as uncharacterized. The record is from RefSeq and is a predicted model, not a curated record. The transcript is spliced from 3 exons. NCBI's taxonomy places the organism in Eukaryota, Metazoa, Chordata, Actinopteri, Cypriniformes, Cyprinidae.
GUUUAUAAGCACAUUUAUUAAAAAGGAGAGUAAAGGGUCCGUUAUCUUCCUAUGAAAAAUAAAAAAAUAAAAAUAAACAAACAACAACACAGAUUGAUACAGAACUCAGAAAUUUUAUUGUGGAUUUAUGAUAAAAUCAGCCUGGAAAUGAAUUCAUACUCCUCCAAGAAGACACAAGUAGUUCACACCAAACUUUUUCAACAUGAUGCCAAUAUACUGAAGAUGUUAAAUUGCGAAUGGGUUUAGGAUACCUUAAAUGGUGUGGCCAUAGCGAUUUAUUAAAUUAACAUAAAACAAUAAAAUAGUUAUUUUACUAUAUCUUUAAAAUUUUUCAUUCUAACUCUUCAUAUUUUUUUAUAUACGUCGAAGUCAUCAUUUGAAGGAAGCACAGUAAGUUUCAUAGCUUUAUCAUGUUCAGGAGCCAUCAUAAAAUUAAAACUAUCAUAACUUAUAAAUCAAGCUUGCAAUUCUUAGUACCAAUAAUGGCCACCAGAUGGAGCUAUAGGAUUACUUUUAAAUAAUUAUUGUAGAAACUAGUAUGAUUUAAAUCAUUUAUAGAAAUCUUUCAAAGAAAAAUAAUAUGUAUUUUACUGAUGAAAUGACCCUCACUUAAUUAGAAUAACAUGCUGAAGUAUUGUGAAAUACUGUAUAUUAAGAAUAGUUCUUUAUAGGCUUUAUGGACAGAUAAGUUUUGAGUGACUCUUGAAGGAUCAGCACCACAUCCUCUUUUACCACUGUUUAAAGAAUUUAUCUUACAGAACAGGUGCGAAUGAAUAUUGGAUAGCUUGAAUGGUUUUGUCGUGGUGAUUUUUUGAAAUAAAAGUAAAAAAGGAACCAGUAAAUGUCUUUAAUUUUUUUAAAGUGCAGCUUCUAAACACUUCAAAAAAAUGUACACAUAGAAGACAAGUCAUUCUGAGGAAAUAUGCAUAGUUUCAUGACUAUACAACACUAUAUGGAUGAUAGAAAAUUAAAAAACUAUCAUACAUCUGAUGUCACUCUGUCCCCUCUGUCACUGUGGGUAAUGUGUGUGUGUGUGUGUGUGUGUGUGUGUGUGUGUGUGUGUGUGUAAUUAGGUGUGAAACUAUCAGGGAGCAUUUAGUCUCCAGCGCCAACAUUUUACAGAACUGACACUUUCCUGGAGUCUCCAGAAUUACUCGGUGUCAGGUUCUGAGAGACUUAAGAUUCCAAAAAAUGAUUUAAUUAGAAUACCAUGAAGUACUGUGAAAUACUAUAUAUUAAGACUUUAUAUAUAGGGUUUAUGAACAGAUUAGAGUGACUCGUGAAGGACCAGCACCACCUCCUCUUGUCCGAUGGUUUGAGGAAUAUAUCUUCCAGAUCUGGGAUUAAGAUUUAGGAGCUCAUUUUUAUUCCAUCUCCUUUCCUUAAAAGUUUGUCUUGCAGAAUUGACAAAAAAUUUAUCUUCACAUUAAUUCCUAAUUCUUUUGCAAUUCUUUUUGUCAGUUCUUCUCAACCUUUUUUUCUCUUCCAGCUUUCCUGGACUAUUGUAUAUCACUCAUAAAUGAUUAAAUAAAAAAUAAUGGUAGUUAUUAAGACUGAUAUGGUUUGGAAUUGGUAAAAUGUGCUUGGGAAAAAAAAUCAUAAUAAAACAAUGUUUUAAUGCUUAAGUUAGGAAUAUUAACUGACAUGAAUAAAUGCUAUAUAAAUAUUGUUCAUGUUAACAUAGUUAAUGUUUAUAAAUGAAAUCUUAUUGUAAAGUGUUACUAAAGUUAUAUAUAUUGUUAUGUGAAUGUGAUUUUAAAGUCUAGAUGAUUCGGAUUAACCCUUUAACUGCCGUAUCCUUUAAAACCUUACUGCCAGAGGGAUAUUGUUAAUGCAUGUGCCCGCUGGGCACAGUUUACCUGAUGCCACCGGGGUGGCGUUCGCACUGAUGGC